UGUGCCUUCGGGAACCGUGAGACAGGUGCUGCAUGGCUGUCGUCAGCUCGUGUUGUGAAAUGUUGGUUAAGUCCCGCAACGAGCGCAACCCUUAUCCUUUGUUGCCAGCGGUCCGGCCGGGAAACUCAAAGGAGACUGCCAGUGAUAAACUGGAGGAAGGUGGGGAUGACGUCAAGUCAUCAUGGCCCUUACGACCAGGGCUACACACGUGCUACAAUGGCGCAUACAAAGAGAAGCGACCUCGCGAGAGCAAGCGGACCUCAUAAAGUGCGUCGUAGUCCGGAUUGGAGUCUGCAACUCGACUCCAUGAAGUCGGAAUCGCUAGUAAUCGUGGAUCAGAAUGCCACGGUGAAUACGUUCCCGGGCCUU
This 369-nucleotide ribosomal RNA is filed under the name uncultured Enterobacteriaceae bacterium. RNAcentral's name for it is "bacterial SSU rRNA". It matches the Rfam family "Bacterial small subunit ribosomal RNA", at positions 1013 to 1382 of the family's 1533-position model. Lineage: Bacteria; Pseudomonadati; Pseudomonadota; Gammaproteobacteria; Enterobacterales; Enterobacteriaceae. The record is from RNAcentral.